ACAUGAUUACAUCAUAGCAUUAAUGCACUGGAUCCCAUUAGAACUAUGCAUUUAAGCACGUUCGGGCUAGAGUAGUACUGGGAUGGGUGACUGCCCGGGAAGUCCUAGUGUUUUACAUGCC
Molecule: non-coding RNA, 121 nt
Organism: Picea glauca (white spruce)
Lineage: Eukaryota; Viridiplantae; Streptophyta; Pinopsida; Pinales; Pinaceae
Source: Rfam